UUUAAAAGAAAUGGUAGUAAUCAAGGGAUGCACAUAACUAAAACUUCCACCAACUUCGGGCACUGAAAAUGCCAGAAUGAAAUCCAUGUUGGACCGAAACAAAGAUCAAGUUACUAAUAUGACCUUUUACACCAGCUGCAAAAGUCUUCAAAUAAAAUAAAAGAGUUACAUGAAGCCUGAUCAUUUAAACUAUCUAAGCCACUAGUCCCUAAAUUGAGACUUCUUUUUUGCCAAAUACAUAGCUAACAAAACCUCGGCUAUCUCAAGUCAGACUAGGGAAUACAAAACUACCAGAUAAGUUAAAAAUCUUUACAGAAACCUUUCGACCUUGGCUCUGUUGAUGAAUGCAAAAGGUCCAUCGAGCUCUAGAGUCCC
This 375-nucleotide long non-coding RNA is filed under the name Phoenix dactylifera (date palm). RNAcentral describes it as "long non-coding RNA (PDAC_LNC017988)". The record is from RNAcentral. Lineage: Eukaryota; Viridiplantae; Streptophyta; Magnoliopsida; Arecales; Arecaceae.